UUUAGAGAUAGAGGGUGCUCGAAGAGAGCCGUAACACAGGUGCUGCAUGGCUGUCGUCAGCUCGUGUCGUGAGAUGUUGGGUUAAGUCCCGCAACCGAGCCGCAACCCUUGUCAUUAGUUGCUACAUCCAGUUGGGCACUCUAAUGAGACUGCCGGUGACAAGCCGGAGGAAGGUGGGGAUGACGUCAAGUCCUCAUGGCCCUUAGUAGGUGGGCUACACACGUCAUACAAUGGCUGGUACAAAGGGUUGCCAACCCGCGAGGGGGAGCCAAUCCCAUAAAGCCAGUCGUAGUCCGGAUCGCAGUCUGCAACUCGACUGCGUGAAGUCGGAAUCGCUAGUAAUCGUGAAUCAGAAUGUCACGGUCGAAUACGUUCCCGGGCCUU
This 384-nucleotide ribosomal RNA is filed under the name uncultured Variovorax sp. Its description in RNAcentral is "bacterial SSU rRNA". It matches the Rfam family "Bacterial small subunit ribosomal RNA", at positions 999 to 1382 of the family's 1533-position model. Lineage: Bacteria; Pseudomonadati; Pseudomonadota; Betaproteobacteria; Burkholderiales; Comamonadaceae. The record is from RNAcentral.